UUGGCUAAUCCUGGUCGGACAUCAGGAGGUUAGUGCAAUGGCAUAAGCCAGCUUGACUGCGAGCGUGACGGCGCGAGCAGGUGCGAAAGCAGGUCAUAGUGAUCCGGUGGUUCUGAAUGGAAGGGCCAUCGCUCAACGGAUAAAAGGUACUCCGGGGAUAACAGGCUGAUACCGCCCAAGAGUUCAUAUCGACGGCGGUGUUUGGCACCUCGAUGUCGGCUCAUCACAUCCUGGGGCUGAAGUAGGUCCCAAGGGUAUGGCUGUUCGCCAUUUAAAGUGGUACGCGAGCUGGGUUUAGAACGUCGUGAGACAGUUCGGUCCCUAUCUGCCGUGGGCGCUGGAGAACUGAGGGGGGCUGCUCCUAGUACGAGAGGACCGGAGUGGACGCAUCACUGGUGUUCGGGUUGUCAUGCCAAUGGCACUGCCCGGUAGCUAAAUGCGGAAGAGAUAAGUGCUGAAAGCAUCUAAGCACGAAACUUGCCCCGAGAUGAGUUCUCCCUGACCCUUUAAGGGUCCUGAAGGAACGUUG
Molecule: ribosomal RNA, 529 nt
Filed under: Shigella flexneri
Lineage: Bacteria; Pseudomonadati; Pseudomonadota; Gammaproteobacteria; Enterobacterales; Enterobacteriaceae
Description: partial 23S ribosomal RNA
Rfam family: Bacterial large subunit ribosomal RNA
Source: RNAcentral